This 80-nucleotide transfer RNA is filed under the name Nanobdellota archaeon. RNAcentral describes it as "tRNA-Ser". It matches the Rfam family "tRNA". From Rfam's summary of the family: Transfer RNA (tRNA) molecules are approximately 80 nucleotides in length. Their secondary structure includes four short double-helical elements and three loops (D, anti-codon, and T loops). The record is from RNAcentral. Lineage: Archaea; Nanobdellati; Nanobdellota.
GCCUCCGGCGCAUAACGGUCGUGCACCGGUCUUGAAAACCGGGCCCUUUGGGCUACCAGGUUCGACUCCUGGCGGGGGCG